UUAAGCGACUAAGCGUACACGGUGGAUGCCCUGGCAGUCAGAGGCGAUGAAGGACGUGCUAAUCUGCGAAAAGCGCCGGCGAGGUGAUAUGAACCCUUGACCCGGCGAUGUCCGAAUGGGGAAACCCAGUGCAAUCCGUUGCACUAUCGUUAACUGAAUACAUAGGUUAACGAGGCGAACCGGGGGAACUGAAACAUCUAAGUACCCCGAGGAAAAGAAAUCAACCGAGAUUCCCCCAGUAGCGGCGAGCGAACGGGGAGCAGCCCGGAGUCUGAAUCAGCUUGUGUGUUAGUGGAACGGUCUGGAAAGUCCGACGGUACAGGGUGAUAGUCCCGUACACGAAAGCACACUUGCUGUGAACUCGAAGAGUAGGGCGGGACACGUGGUAUCCUGUCUGAAUAUGGGGGGACCAUCCUCCAAGGCUAAAUACUCCUGACUGACCGAUAGUGAACCAGUACCGUGAGGGAAAGGCGAAAAGAACCCCGGCGAGGGGAGUGAAAAAGAACCUGAAACCGUGUACGUACAAGCAGUGGGAGCCUCUUUAUGGGGUGACUGCGUACCUUUUGUAUAAUGGGUCAGCGACUUAUAUUCUGUAGCAAGGUUAACCGUAUAGGGGAGCCGAAGGGAAACCGAGUCUUAACUGGGCGUUAAGUUGCAGGGUAUAGACCCGAAACCCGGUGAUCUAGCCAUGGGCAGGUUGAAGGUUGGGUAACACUAACUGGAGGACCGAACCGACUAAUGUUGAAAAAUUAGCGGAUGACCUGUGGCUGGGGGUGAAAGGCCAAUCAAACCGGGAGAUAGCUGGUUCUCCCCGAAAGCUAUUUAGGUAGCGCCUCGUGAACUCAUCUUCGGGGGUAGAGCACUGUUUCGGCUAGGGGGCCAUCCCGGCUUACCAACCCGAUGCAAACUACGAAUACCGAAGAAUGUUAUCACGGGAGACACACGGCGGGUGCUAACGUCCGUCGUGAAGAGGGAAACAACCCAGACCGCCAGCUAAGGUCCCAAAGUCAUGGUUAAGUGGGAAACGAUGUGGGAAGGCACAGACAGCCAGGAUGUUGGCUUAGAAGCAGCCAUCAUUUAAAGAAAGCGUAAUAGCUCACUGGUCGAGUCGGCCUGCGCGGAAGAUGUAACGGGGCUAAACCAUGCACCGAAGCUGCGGCAGCGACACUAUGUGUUGUUGGGUAGGGGAGCGUUCUGUAAGCCGUUGAAGGUGUGCUGUGAGGCAUGCUGGAGGUAUCAGAAGUGCGAAUGCUGACAUAAGUAACGAUAAAGCGGGUGAAAAGCCCGCUCGCCGGAAGACCAAGGGUUCCUGUCCAACGUUAAUCGGGGCAGGGUGAGUCGACCCCUAAGGCGAGGCCGAAAGGCGUAGUCGAUGGGAAACAGGUUAAUAUUCCUGUACUUGGUGUUACUGCGAAGGGGGGACGGAGAAGGCUAUGUCAGCCGGGCGACGGUUGUCCCGGUUUAAGCAUGUAGGCGGAGGUUCCAGGUAAAUCCGGUACCUUAUUAACGCUGAGGUGUGAUGACGAGGCACUACGGUGCUGAAGUGAUAAAUGCCCUGCUUCCAGGAAAAGCCUCUAAGCAUCAGGUAACACGAAAUCGUACCCCAAACCGACACAGGUGGUCAGGUAGAGAAUACCAAGGCGCUUGAGAGAACUCGGGUGAAGGAACUAGGCAAAAUGGUGCCGUAACUUCGGGAGAAGGCACGCUGAUGUGUAGGUGAAGUCCCUGCGGAUGGAGCUGAAAUCAGUCGAAGAUACCAGCUGGCUGCAACUGUUUAUUAAAAACACAGCACUGUGCAAACACGAAAGUGGACGUAUACGGUGUGACGCCUGCCCGGUGCCGGAAGGUUAAUUGAUGGGGUUAGCGGCAACGCGAAGCUCUUGAUCGAAGCCCCGGUAAACGGCGGCCGUAACUAUAACGGUCCUAAGGUAGCGAAAUUCCUUGUCGGGUAAGUUCCGACCUGCACGAAUGGCGUAAUGAUGGCCAGGCUGUCUCCACCCGAGACUCAGUGAAAUUGAACUCGCUGUGAAGAUGCAGUGUACCCGCGGCAAGACGGAAAGACCCCGUGAACCUUUACUAUAGCUUGACACUGAACACUGGUCCUUGAUGUGUAGGAUAGGUGGGAGGCUUUGAAGCGUGGACGCCAGUCUGCGUGGAGCCAACCUUGAAAUACCACCCUUUAAUGGCUGGUGUUCUAACGUAGACCCGUAAUCCGGGUUGCGGACAGUGUCUGGUGGGUAGUUUGACUGGGGCGGUCUCCUCCCAAAGAGUAACGGAGGAGCACGAAGGUUGGCUAAUCCUGGUCGGACAUCAGGAGGUUAGUGCAAUGGCAUAAGCCAGCUUGACUGCGAGCGUGACGGCGCGAGCAGGUGCGAAAGCAGGUCAUAGUGAUCCGGUGGUUCUGAAUGGAAGGGCCAUCGCUCAACGGAUAAAAGGUACUCCGGGGAUAACAGGCUGAUACCGCCCAAGAGUUCAUAUCGACGGCGGUGUUUGGCACCUCGAUGUCGGCUCAUCACAUCCUGGGGCUGAAGUAGGUCCCAAGGGUAUGGCUGUUCGCCAUUUAAAGUGGUACGCGAGCUGGGUUUAGAACGUCGUGAGACAGUUCGGUCCCUAUCUGCCGUGGGCGCUGGAGAAUUGAGGGGGGCUGCUCCUAGUACGAGAGGACCGGAGUGGACGCAUCACUGGUGUUCGGGUUGUCAUGCCAAUGGCACUGCCCGGUAGCUAAAUGCGGAAGAGAUAAGUGCUGAAAGCAUCUAAGCACGAAACUUGCCCCGAGAUGAGUUCUCCCUGAGACUUUAAGUCUCCUGAAGGAACGUUGAAGACGACGACGUUGAUAGGUCGGGUGUGUAAGCGCAGCGAUGCGUUGAGCUAACCGAUACUAAUGAACCGUGAGGCUUAACCUU
RNAcentral lists this ribosomal RNA (2903 nucleotides) under Enterobacter cloacae. RNAcentral's name for it is "bacterial LSU rRNA". It matches the Rfam family "Bacterial large subunit ribosomal RNA". The record is from RNAcentral. Lineage: Bacteria; Pseudomonadati; Pseudomonadota; Gammaproteobacteria; Enterobacterales; Enterobacteriaceae.